CUAAACAAGGCGAUAUAAUUAAAUAGCUACUUCUUAAGAUUUUCCUCUCUCCUUUAAAAAUGAAAGACUUGUAAAUAUAGACUGCCUAAAUGCUUCAUCAGUACGAACUGGAGUCAUCUUACACAACUUCUUCAAGUAAUAAUUAUGUGGAAAAAGUGUGCUAAUUUCAGUAAAAAGACAUCCUGCUGUUGUAAACUAGAAGGAAAGAUGUUCCAGUGUUAAUCUCCAAGUGUAGCACCGUUAAGCGGCAGGUAUAAGAAAUGUUCUGUUUUUUGGAAACAUUUGGUCUGUUCUCAUUUGCUUGUGCUAUGACAAGCAAGGUCAGGAGGAAAGGCAGAUCUAUUAACACUUCGUUUAACCAAGGCAGACCUUAGUACAAUGGACAGCCUUAUAGAAGUCUUCUAAGUCAUUAAUGAAAAUGUCAACUGACAUUCCCAAGGAGCCCACUACAAAGGCUGAUUGGUUUAUUAUAGCCUUGGCCCUACUGAAGGCUUGCGGCAGACACCAAGCCUCCUUCUGAAACUAUGUGAGAGUAUAACACAACAGAAAAAAAAGACUAAACACUACCUACGCUCAAUGUUCCACACCUCUUAAGCCAGUAAUCCUGUAUCUGGUGUCUGGCAGCAAAGAAAAUAAAAUAUACCUCAUCUGUGCUCCAUUUGGAGACUUUACUGGCAGGGAUUCCAGCGACAGUUGGAAGAAGUUUGCUUUGCUGCUCCCAGCGCAAGGGCAGACAUGGAAUUGGGGACUUAA
RNAcentral lists this non-coding RNA (753 nucleotides) under Pongo abelii (Sumatran orangutan). The record is from RNAcentral. Lineage: Eukaryota; Metazoa; Chordata; Mammalia; Primates; Hominidae.